GAAAGUAUUCCCUUUUCGUUAUGUUUAUUGGGUACUGAUGAGGCUGGCCGUACACUUGCAAAGUGUAGCCAAGCACAAGCCGAAGAAUCGGAAUGAGAAUGCAUAAAUGAGAAAUGUGAAUAUUGCACGGAGUUACAUAAUGAUCAAUGAUGAUAAUGAACAUGAAUAAAUGCGAUGUACAUAAAUAGAGCUUACGACAAUAGUAGAAAUGAAGCCGAAAGUCCAAUGAAGAUGAAGAGAGUUGAGAACGAAGGAAGGGGCUCACGCGAUGAAAUGUGCGGAGGCUUGAAGAGGCGGAAACGCGACUUCGUUGACGUGGUUGAAGAACCGUGAAGAACGCGAUGUCGUCGCCGACGCUCGUGAUGAUGAUGAAUGUAGAUGGAGCUCUCGGGCGAGAAUAGAAGAGAAGAGAAGAGAUGUGUGGCGCUCGAUGACGAAAGCAGUGAGUCGCUUGAUGUCGGAGGCCAAAGUGGAAAAUGCAGACAUCAAAGCCGGUAGUGGUGCUGAGACGGUGAGUCGCUCGAUUGAUGAGCCGAACUUUGAUGGUGAAUGUUUAGAUGAGCUGCGGUGAGUCGAGCUCAUGUGAGUGAAAGACUACCGGUGAAGAAACUGGCAGCUCCCAGCGGAUAACCAAGCACCAUAUAUGUCGGAACUAGAUUUAACUGUUCCACUGGAAGACUGCAGCCCGAUGAACACGGCAGUGAAAGUGAAGAUGUGCCGAUAGAAGUGAUAGGCACAGUAGAAUCAAGCCCGGAGAAGAAAUCAUGCAGAAACGUGUUGACUCAACUGAGAUGUAAGCAGGAGUUGUUGACUCGACCGAGGUGUAAGCGGGAGUGAAGAAAACCUCGUGGUGAUGAAAAUACGCGGGUGAACGAUGCGCGGAACCACGAUGCUCGAUUGGAGGAAUGAACACACGUGGUCCGAAUAAUGAAUAUAAAUAAGAACCGUGAUGGAAAAAUACAGGAGACAUGAAUUAAUGUACGGUGAAAGUAGGGCAUGUAAGAGCCGCUACAUUACUCCCCUGCCAGAAUUGAAGCUGUGUAUGCAAUACACAGAUGAGAGGCGAAAAA
Long non-coding RNA from Strongylocentrotus purpuratus (purple sea urchin), 1070 nucleotides. RefSeq lists it as uncharacterized. The transcript has 2 exons. NCBI's taxonomy places the organism in Eukaryota, Metazoa, Echinodermata, Echinoidea, Camarodonta, Strongylocentrotidae. The record is from RefSeq and is a predicted model, not a curated record.